UAGUAACGGCGAGUGAAGAGGGAAAAGCUCAAAUUUUGAAUCUGGUGUCUUUGACUCCCGAGUUGUAAUCUAGAGAAGUGUUUUCCGCGUUGGACCGUGUACAAGUUCCCUGGAACGGGGCGUCAUAGAGGGUGAGAAUCCCGUAUAUGCCACGGACUACCAAUGCUCUGUGAUACACUCUCAACGAGUCGAGUUGUUUGGGAAUGCAGCUCAAAAUGGGUGGUAAAUUCCAUCUAAAGCUAAAUAUUGGCGAGAGACCGAUAGCGAACAAGUACCGUGAGGGAAAGAUGAAAAGCACUUUGGAAGGAGAGUGAAACAGUACGUGAAAUUGUUGAAAGGGAAGCGUUUGAAGUCAGUCACGUCUGUCGGAAUUCAGCCUGGCUUCUGCCUGGUGUACUUUCCGUCCGACGGGUCAGCAUCAAUUUCGACCGAGGGAAAAAGACGUGAGGAAUGUGGCUGUCUUCGGGCAGUGUUAUAGCCUCGGGUUGUAUGUCUCGGUUGGGAUUGAGGAACGCAGCGCGCCUAUUGGCCGGGGGUUCGCGCCCCUCGGUACGCGCUUAGGA
RNAcentral lists this ribosomal RNA (563 nucleotides) under uncultured Sebacinales. RNAcentral's name for it is "eukaryotic LSU rRNA". It matches the Rfam family "Eukaryotic large subunit ribosomal RNA", at positions 81 to 612 of the family's 3401-position model. Lineage: Eukaryota; Fungi; Basidiomycota; Agaricomycetes; Sebacinales. The record is from RNAcentral.